Molecule: ribosomal RNA, 500 nt
Filed under: uncultured bacterium
Lineage: Bacteria
Description: partial 16S ribosomal RNA
Rfam family: Bacterial small subunit ribosomal RNA
Source: RNAcentral
GAUGAACGCUGGCGGAAUGCUUUACACAUGCAAGUCGAACGAUGAACCUUAGCUUGCUAAGGGGAUUAGUGGCGAACGGGUGAGUAAUGUAUCGGAACGUAUCCAAUAAUGGGGGAUAACUAGUCGAAAGAUUAGCUAAUACCGCAUACGUCCUACGGGAGAAAGCUAGGGACCUUCGGGCCUGGCGUUAAUGGAGCGGCCGAUAUCUGAUUAGCUAGUUGGUGGGGUAAAGGCUCACCAAGGCGACGAUCAGUAGCUGGUCUGAGAGGACGACCAGCCAAACUGGAACUGAGACACGGUCCAGACUCCUACGGGAGGCAGCAGUGGGGAAUUUUGGACAAUGGGCGAAAGCCUGAUCCAGCCAUUCCGCGUGAGUGAAGAAGGCCUUCGGGUUGUAAAGCUCUUUCGCAAGAGAAGAAAACUUAAGCUCUAACAUAGCUUGAGGUUGACGGUACCUUGAUAAGAAGCACCGGCUAACUACGUGCCAGCAGCCGCGGUAA